GACGAACGCUGGCGGCGUGCUUAACACAUGCAAGUCGAACGGAAAGGCCCUGCUUUUGUGGGGGGCUCGAUUACCGAACGGGUGAUUAACACGUGAGUAACCUGCCCUUGACUUUGGGAUAACUUCAGGGAACUGGGGCUAAUACCGGAUAGUAGCUCCUGCUGCAUUGUGGGGGUUGUAGAGUUUCGGCGGUUGGGGAUGGAUUCGCGGCUUAUCAGCUUGUUGGUGGGGUAGUGGCUUACCAAGGCUUUGACUGGUAGCCGGCCUGGGAGGGUGACCGGCCACAUUGGGACUGAGCUGAGGCACAGACUCAUACGGGAGGCAGCAGUGGGGAAUAUUGCACAAUGGGCGGAAGGCUGAUGCAGCACCGCCGCGUGGGGGAUGACGGCCUUCGGGUUGUAAACCGCUUUUGCCUGUGACGAAGAGUGAGUGACGGUAAUGGGUAAAGAAGCCCCGGCUAACUACGUG
RNAcentral lists this ribosomal RNA (468 nucleotides) under uncultured bacterium. RNAcentral describes it as "partial 16S ribosomal RNA". It matches the Rfam family "Bacterial small subunit ribosomal RNA", at positions 28 to 507 of the family's 1533-position model. The record is from RNAcentral.